AGAGUGUUUAUUGGUUAUUUUGUGUCAACACAACUUAAUAAAUAUUUAUGUCCGAACAGCUUCGGAGCUGUUUGAAAAAAAUGUGCGUAUAAAUAGAAAGGGAAAACAAUAAUUUUAUUUCAUUCUUAAAUAACCAAAAUUACUUCUUAAUGGCUAUGUAGCUUGUUGGGCACUGCAUGGUUGCUCAAACUUUGUGAUCAGACUUGUUAAAAAUGAUUAAAGAAGAGGAGUUAGGUGACAGAACUUGAACACUCCACGAAGCUCCGGCGCAGUCUCCAUUCCCAAGGGCCUGGCGAGUGGCAGAAUGGCGCGGAAGGCAGGGAGCUUUAAGAUUGAGGAGCAAGGAAGAGAAAAUAAACAAGAACAAGGAAAUAAGUAUGAUACCGACCCUGGGUUUGUAGGCUCUCUGUGCAACAGAAACUGACCAGAGGCACAGCCAAAGUCUGGCAAGGCUUCACUGGGGCUCAUGCUGGAGCACGAGGGGCACAGCACAGGGGGGUCGGCCCUGGAAGAGAGGCGUCCCGAGGGUUUUAUGGGGUGAGGGAGCGGACUGGCAUCCCGAUUCCCCUCUUCUGGAGGUGUUCUGCUUCGCUCUUCCCAGUGGGGUCGGCUUCUCAUGCCCCGUGGGGGCUGUGGUCCCCACCCCCGCCCAGCAGGUCCAACCCGGUGGUGUCGCACACUCCGCUGCCCCAGGAGGGUCCAGUGUGGUCCUCUGAGCCUUUGUGCACGUGUGGGGGUGGGUCGCCUGCCUGGGGGCGGUUUUGUGGUUGGAAGGUUGCUUAUCUUGACUUAGAAAGUAGCUGGGCUGAGAGGUGCCAGACCUGGUGGCUACGGGUGAAGGGCAGAGGCCAUCCCUAUUCUGUCUCAAGUAUAGAGCCCAGAGUGGGCCUGGCCUUGGGGACCGGCUGACUAGAUAUCCUGCGUUUGUGGUCAAGCAGAGCAUCUGCAGGGACACGAAAAUCAUCCAGAUUUUGUUUGGCUGACUUGGCUUCCCGCCCCCCACCAUGGGCAGGAGCGGCUCCAUCUCGGGCCUGGACGGUUAUUUCAGCAGACUGGACUGACAAAUAGAAAUGGCAAGCAAUAGGAUAUAUUGGAGUCUAUGAGGAAGCCAUUUGGUAUAAACCUAAUUCGGUCAGACUUUGUUUUUCCAAAAGGGCCUGACAUGGCCUUUGAGCAUGCAUCGUAUAUCUGCUUUAAACAUUUCCCAUGGCAAGAACAAAUGGCCUUAAGAUAAAGGUGCAACUUCCCCCGACAUUGACAUUUCCUUAAGGACAAGCAUCUCUCCCUAGACUAGGAAUGGAUGGCUGCGCUCACCUUUGACCACCCAGCUGGAGACAACAGACCUGCCACCCUGCUGUGUCCAUCGAGACGGCAGACCUACCUGCUGUGUCCAUCAAUCCCUGUGCCGACAGCAGUCUCGCAACUAUUGUAAAAGGGACAUUUCAAUCCUAUGUGAAACAUCCUCUUUGGGGGUAUAUAACCACUCUAUACACCCCACUUCUUUGGUGCCCUUUCUUCCUUUGGGAAAAAAGGCCCCAGGCCAUGAUCCUCACAUUUUAGCUCAGAAUAAACUCAUCCCAAAUUUUCAUUUAUAGAUUGGUUAUGGAUGAUUUUUGUCGACAUUUCUUGGUGUAGUCAUGGCAAGAUUUCAGAGAAAGCCACGGGAGACCACCUGGAAUCUACACUGAGCCGGCAUUCAGUACCAAUAGGGGCCCAUUGAGCCCCCCGGAUUACUGCAUUCUUCAGGUGACCCUGAGCAGCUGUGCCGACACUUCAAGCAGCUGGCGCUCAUGUCAGCCGUCGACUCAAGGUGGAUAAUUUCACAAGCUAAGUUCAACGCUCCAGGCUGGCUCAGGAGCCCUGGCAACAAGGCAAGCGCACUUGAAGACAGCCUGCCGGUGAGCAGAACCAGCCCUCAGCCUACGGAGCAGGAAGUUUCCCUUUUGAUAAAUUAAAGGAAAAAAGGCAAGGUGUCAUAUUUUAAAUGACUAAGUAGCUAUUUCACGCUGCAGCCAAAGCACUGUCUGGCAGACUGCAUGGUCGCCGUCAUGGUUUUGUUUAAUGAUGUUUGGAAAGUUGGCCAUCUCCAAUGUGAAAUAGUCAACUCGUUCGCACCAUCAUCAGGACAUGCAUUAGCGCCGUGGCAUGUGGGAGCUGAAUGUGGGGCCGUGACACAAAAAAGAAGCAUCCUUUGAGUAUCUCCCCGGACCCCAGGCAAGCCUCCAGAUUUCAGGAACCAGGAGUGACUACAUAAGUGGGAUUAUUGAAGGUGUGGAAGUCAAAACAUCUGCCCCAAAUGGUCUCCUUUCGCUUUAGGGGCUGUCGAUCUCCAAAGCCAAGCCGAGGAAUGGAGUUUUACAAAGGCACCGGAGAGGACUUGCUCGCCCUUAACCACGUCAGUAGACAAGCCCAGCAAAGGCACUGGAGGGAUCCCAACCACAGUGCCAGCUGAGCUCAGGCACGUUCAGGGUGCUGUGGCCCUCCACUCACAGCUACUGUCCCUGGAUGAGGGGGUCCCUGUACUGCCAGAUGUUGCUGAUGAGGACACGCCUGCUCCCUUACAGAAAAGAGCUGUGCCAGGGCAGGGCGCCAUCUCACUUCUGUGCCUCCAGCACAGAAGGCAUUUGAUCCAUGUGGCGAGAUGAAUGCAUCACCGCCCAUCCAGGAAUGUAUGAAAGAAAGAACGUCAUGCCACUAAUUUCUUUAUUUUAUCUCAAAUUCCCAAGGACAGGGUGAGCCGCUGUGCUGGGCCUGGGGGUCGAACUGAGAAAAAGAAGAAGUCUGAGAGUUGCCGUUGCGGGAAGGGUCCAGGCCACCAGGUGCUCAAAAGAGGAAACAGCCAAAGGCGAUCACAAUGCGAGAAGUGUAUCUGGGGCACAGGUAGCAGUUCCCAUCUUGGGGAUCAGGGACAGCUCCCUGGAGGAAGGGUGACUAGCCUAGGAUUUGGAGGGUGAAAUAAAUUUGUUGUCACUUGCAAAUUUUUAGACUCAUCCUCAUUCAAGAUGGUAGUCGAGACCACAGGCAUUUCAGUGAUGCUUCGUGAGAAAACUGGCCCUGAGCUAAUAUCCAUGACCUUCUUUCUCUGCUUUAUACGUGGGAUGCCUACCACAGCAUGGCUUUGGCUUAGUGGUGCCAUGUCCGUACCCAGGAUUGGAACUGGGGAACCCCAGGCUGCCGAGGAGCUGGACGUGUGAACUUAACCGCUGC
Equus caballus (horse) is the source of this 3207-nucleotide long non-coding RNA. The record is from Ensembl. Lineage: Eukaryota; Metazoa; Chordata; Mammalia; Perissodactyla; Equidae.